Molecule: ribosomal RNA, 484 nt
Filed under: uncultured bacterium
Lineage: Bacteria
Description: partial 16S ribosomal RNA
Rfam family: Bacterial small subunit ribosomal RNA
Source: RNAcentral
AUUGAACGCUGGCGGCAGGCCUAACACAUGCAAGUCGAGCGGCUGCAGGGUGCUUGCUCCUGCAUUCAGCGGCGGACGGGUGGGUGAUGCCUAGAAAUCUCCCUGUUAGUGGGUGAUAACGUCCGGAAACGGGCGCUCAUACGCCAUAACUCCAUACGGCGAACGUGUGGGAGCUUCGGACCUCCCGCUAUCGGAUGAGCCUAUGUCGGAUUAGCUAGUUGGGGGGGUAAAGGCCUACCAAGGCGACGAUCCGUAGCUGGUCUGAGAGGAUGAUCAGUCACACUGGAACUGAGACACGGUCCAGACUCCUACGGGAGGCAGCAGUGGGGAAUAUUGGACAAUGGGCGAAAGCCUGAUCCAGCCAUGCCGCGUGGGUGAAGAAGGUCUUCGGAUUGUAAAGCACUUUUGUUUGGGAGGAAGAGCAGUAAGUUAAUACCUCGCUGUUUUGACGGUACCAACAGAAUAAGCACCGGCUAACUUCGUG